ACGGAAGGCAGCAGUCGGGAAUAUUGCGCAAUGGAGGAAACUCUGACGCAGUGACGCCGCGUAUAGGAAGAAGGUUUUAGGAUUGUAAACUAUUUUGGACAGGGAAGAAAGAAGACAGUACCUGUAGAAUAAACUCCGGCUAACUACGUGCCAGCAGCCGCGGGAAUACGUAGGGAGCAAGCGUUAUCCGGAAUUAUUGGGUGUAAAGGGUGCGUAGACGGGAAUACAAGUUAGUUGUGAAAGCCCUCGGCUCAACUGAGGAACUGCAGCUAAAACUAUAUUUCUUGAGUGCAGGAGAGGAAAGCGGAAUUCCUAGUGUAGCGGUGAAAUGCGUAGAUAUUAGGAGGAACACCAGUGGCGAAGGCGGCUUUCUGGACUGUAACUGACGUUGAGGCACGAAAGUGUGGGGAGCAAACAGGAUUAGAUACCCUGGUA
Molecule: ribosomal RNA, 435 nt
Filed under: uncultured Oscillospiraceae bacterium
Lineage: Bacteria; Bacillati; Bacillota; Clostridia; Eubacteriales; Oscillospiraceae
Description: bacterial SSU rRNA
Rfam family: Bacterial small subunit ribosomal RNA
Source: RNAcentral